UGCCAGCAGCCGCGGUAAUACAUAGGGGUCAAGCGUUGUCCGGAUUUAUUGGGCGUAAAGAGCUCGUAGGCGGACGUAUAAGUCAGUGGUGAAAUCCUGCAGCUUAACUGCAGAACUGCCAUUGAUACUGUACGUCUUGAAUUCGGUCGAAGUGGGCGGAAUGUGUAGUGUAGCGGUGAAAUGCAUAGAUAUUACACAGAACACCGAUAGCGAAGGCAGCUCACUAGGCCUGGAUUGACGCUCAGGGACGAAAGCGUGGGGAUCAAACAGGAUUAGAUA
RNAcentral lists this ribosomal RNA (279 nucleotides) under uncultured bacterium. Its description in RNAcentral is "partial 16S ribosomal RNA". It matches the Rfam family "Bacterial small subunit ribosomal RNA", at positions 506 to 784 of the family's 1533-position model. The record is from RNAcentral.